ACAAAACAUCCAAACACUCUUGUAGCAAGACGCUUCUCAAACAAUCCCGAAGCCAAAGGUCGCGUCUCAGAGUUCCGCAUCCAGCUUCGUACGCGCAGAUCCAUGGAUUCUAAGUCAAUGCCGAGCGUUCAGCAACACACGAGUUUCACCUCACUUCGAUCCCACAGAUGCGCACCACUCCAGCAUAUCAACGUGUGAAUCUGUAUUUGCUAAUUCUGAAUCGUUUCAUCGCCUUUACCGAAUGAAUGCUUGUGCGAUCCCAAAUUUCAUCCCUAAGCCAAAGUUCGUGGUGAUUUCCGAUGUAGAUAUGGCUUUCGAAACGGUGUUCAGACGCACAGUCUUCUUGGCUAUUCACAAGAUGAAUUGAAUGGGAGAUGGUUUUGCCGUAGAUGACGGCGGUUCAAGCGAGGAUGAGUGUUGCAAAAGUGAAGAAUGAAAUGCAGUGAAGAGUGUGAAUUGCAAAUUGCAGAUCAACGAAGAAGGGGACGAAUCGAUGGAGCGCGAAGAAUGGUUAAGAGAGAUUGGAGCAGGAGCAGGAGAUGAAACGUGAAGCAGGGAGAAGGUGGAGAAUUUUGGUGUGAAAAUGAAGAUUUCUGUGAAAAAAUGCCAAAUCCAGGUGGAGCUUGUUGUGCAGGUUUGGCAUUUUCAGCCUCAACUCUGCGUUUCAUGUUUGGGGUUAUCGUCGUUUUGCUACUGCGACCGGCAGCUUGUCGCUCUUUACAUGCGUUUUGGCUUAUGGAGGGUAAUUGGAUGUGGUUCAUUGAUGGGUAGCUGGAUUAGUCAAAUGGAUUAGUCAAAUGGAUUUUCAAUUGGAGCUUGGAUAACUAUUUUGGAUUAUUUUUGUAAAUGGAAAGGGAUAUUGGGGUCAAUGGAUAUGAGAUGGAGAUGUAUUAUUUGGAUUAUUGCAUUAAAAUCGGUUCAUUCUAACA
Long non-coding RNA from Lathyrus oleraceus (garden pea), 929 nucleotides. RefSeq lists it as uncharacterized. Lineage: Eukaryota; Viridiplantae; Streptophyta; Magnoliopsida; Fabales; Fabaceae. The transcript is spliced from 3 exons. The record is from RefSeq and is a predicted model, not a curated record.